This 458-nucleotide ribosomal RNA is filed under the name Wolbachia sp. RNAcentral's name for it is "bacterial SSU rRNA". It matches the Rfam family "Bacterial small subunit ribosomal RNA", at positions 265 to 740 of the family's 1533-position model. The record is from RNAcentral. Lineage: Bacteria; Pseudomonadati; Pseudomonadota; Alphaproteobacteria; Rickettsiales; Anaplasmataceae.
CUACCAAGGCAAUGAUCUAUAGCUGAUCUGAGAGGAUGAUCAGCCACACUGGAACUGAGAUACGGUCCAGACUCCUACGGGAGGCAGCAGUGGGGAAUAUUGGACAAUGGGCGAAAGCCUGACCCAGCCAUGCCGCAUGAGUGAAGAAGGCCUUCGGGUUGUAAAGCUCUUUUAGUGAGGAAGAUAAUGACGGUACUUACAGAAGAAGUCCUGGCUAACUCCGUGCCAGCAGCCGCGGUAAUACGGAAAGGGCUAGCGUUAUUCGGAAUCAUUGGGCGUAAAGGGCGCGUAUGCGGAUUAGUAAGUUAAAAGUGAAAUCCCAAGGCUCAACCUUGGAAUUGCUUUUAAAACUGCUAAUCUAGAGAUUGAAAGAGGAUAGAGGAAUUCCUAGUGUAGAGGUGAAAUUCGUAAAUAUUAGGAGAAACACCAGUGGCGAAGGCGUCUAUCUGGUUCAAAUC